AUUGAACGCUGGCGGCAGGCCUAACACAUGCAAGUCGAGCGGAUGAAGGGAGCUUGCUCCUGGAUUCAGCGGCGGACGGGUGAGUAAUGCCUAGGAAUCUGCCUGGUAGUGGGGGAUAACGUCCGGAAACGGGCGCUAAUACCGCAUACGUCCUGAGGGAGAAAGUGGGGGAUCUUCGGACCUCACGCUAUCAGAUGAGCCUAGGUCGGAUUAGCUAGUUGGUGGGGUAAAGGCCUACCAAGGCGACGAUCCGUAACUGGUCUGAGAGGAUGAUCUGUCACACUGGAACUGAGACACGGUCCAGACUCCUACGGGAGGCAGCAGUGGGGAAUAUUGGACAAUGGGCGAAAGCCUGAUCCAGCCAUGCCGCGUGUGUGAAGAAGGUCUUCGGAUUGUAAAGCACUUUAAGUUGGGAGGAAGGGCAGUAAGUUAAUACCUUGCUGUUUUGACGUUACCAACAGAAUAGGCACCGGCUAACUUCGUG
RNAcentral lists this ribosomal RNA (484 nucleotides) under uncultured bacterium. RNAcentral describes it as "partial 16S ribosomal RNA". It matches the Rfam family "Bacterial small subunit ribosomal RNA", at positions 30 to 507 of the family's 1533-position model. The record is from RNAcentral.